This 600-nucleotide long non-coding RNA is filed under the name Gossypium barbadense (sea-island cotton). RNAcentral describes it as "long non-coding RNA (GBAR_LNC009992)". The record is from RNAcentral. Lineage: Eukaryota; Viridiplantae; Streptophyta; Magnoliopsida; Malvales; Malvaceae.
GGAUAUAAAAUUAAUAUUAUUAUUAAACAUGUUUAUUUUAAAUUUGACAAUAAAUGUAUUAGACAUUACAAAAUAAUAUUAUUAAAAACCUCAAAUUUGCAUAUACAUAAGGAAGAAAUCAUGAGUAUAAAAAAUUUAGUAAUUAUUUUAAUGAAACAUAAUUAAAUAUUUUUGACUUCAUAUUACAAAUUUAUUUUUUUGCAUAUGCUUACAGUAAGUUCAAUUCACAAAUUACUUUCUUUUCUACCGUUACGGAUAAUGGAAAGCAAAUCAUAUUCUAAAAAGAUCAAAUGGGGGUAUACGAUACAAACAAGAAGUAAGUUCAACUUGGGCAAUAGUAAUAAGAAGUAAGUAAAUUAUACCAACCAUAUUAAUAAUAUAUUAUGCGCUACAUGCAAAUUACAUAUAAUACUUUUUUUUAGACAAAUUGUUGUCUAUAUAUAUAACCUACCUUGAUUCAAGAUUGUUACAUCUCAAAUUUGUUUAAUAUCUAAAUAAACCGUUGAUAAAAAUUUAAGCUUACAGUAGUGUGUCAUUUUCAUGUUAGGCCUUUCAAAUUUUUUUAAAAUUUUAAAUUAUUAAAAGUAAAAUUAUAAAAAU